AAUAGAUACCCCGGUAGUCCACGCCGUAAACGAUGUCGACUUGGAGGUUGUGCCCCUUGAGGCGUGGCUUCCGGAGCUAACGCGUUAAGUCGACCGCCUGGGGAGUACGGCCGCAAGGUUAAAACUCAAAUGAAUUGACGGGGGCCCGCACAAGCGGUGGAGCAUGUGGUUUAAUUCGAUGCAACGCGAAGAACCUUACCUGGUCUUGACAUCCACAGAAGUUUUCAGAGAUGAGAAUGUGCCUUCGGGAACUGUGAGACAAGUGCUGCAUGGCUGUCGUCAGCUCGUGUUGUGAAUGUUGGGUUAAGUCCCGCAACGAGCGCAACCCCUGUUGCUAGUUACAAGUGUCUAGCAAGACUGCCGACAUCAAGUUGGAGGAAGGUGGGGAUGAUGUCAAGUCAGCAUGGCCUUUAUUAUCUGGGGCGACACACACGCUACAAUGGGCGAUACAAUGGGCAGCGGAAGGGGUGGACCUGGAGCGAAUCUCAUCAAAGUCGUUCGUAGUUCGGAUUGUAGGCUGCCG
This 523-nucleotide ribosomal RNA is filed under the name uncultured bacterium. RNAcentral describes it as "bacterial SSU rRNA". It matches the Rfam family "Bacterial small subunit ribosomal RNA", at positions 777 to 1310 of the family's 1533-position model. The record is from RNAcentral.